GCCAGCAGCCAUAUCAGUCUGCAACUCACAACUGGCAGCCCACUGAAGCUCAGCAGGUGUGAGCCUGGCCAGUACCUGAAUGAGAGACCUCCUGGGAAAAACUAAGGUUGCUGCUGGAA
Molecule: ribosomal RNA, 119 nt
Filed under: Lepisosteus oculatus (spotted gar)
Lineage: Eukaryota; Metazoa; Chordata; Actinopteri; Semionotiformes; Lepisosteidae
Source: RNAcentral